Molecule: long non-coding RNA, 296 nt
Filed under: Struthio camelus australis
Lineage: Eukaryota; Metazoa; Chordata; Aves; Struthioniformes; Struthionidae
Description: lncRNA (ENSSCUG00000004799.1)
Source: RNAcentral
ACGGCCGUGCUCACUCACGCCUGUCGGUGCGCGGUCCAGCCUGGGACAUGUCGGCGCAGAUGAAGGAGACGCGCAGAGCCAGGGGGUUGCCUGCAAGCACCAGCUGAAGCCGACACUGAAAGUACAGCAAAAAAGGACACGUGACGUCUUCAGCAUGGGGCCGCUACACAUCAAGGCAGCCUGGAAAACAACUUUAGGCCUGUGAAUGUGUCAGUCUCACAUCUUGGGAUCCAUGCACAGAGGUUUCUUCCUUGCUUUUAGGUUUUUUGGAAAUAAACCCAAGCAACUUGGAAGCA